Erpetoichthys calabaricus (reedfish) is the source of this 515-nucleotide non-coding RNA. Lineage: Eukaryota; Metazoa; Chordata; Cladistia; Polypteriformes; Polypteridae. The record is from the annotation of a RefSeq genome assembly.
UUACAGGGUGGGACAGUAAAAAGCAAUUUUAAAACGCGUUCAGGGGAAACAGUACUGCAGAUGGAGAAAAGAAUGCAUCAGAGAAUUCUUGUCUUGACCCUCCUUAUUUCUUUAGGACAUGGUAUUGAAGACCGUGUUUGGCAGCCUGAAAGUAAAGUGCAGGUUCUUCAAAAACAAGAGGCUGAAAUCAAGUGCAACUUUGAAGCAAGAGAUACUGCUAAUGCUUACCUCUUCUGGUAUAUUCAGACACCAAACGGCGUUCCUCGGCAUUUAAUGACAAGGACACCUACUUACAGCAUCAAUGAAGAAGGUUUCAAAGAAAGAUUUAAUGCAACACUCAACCGGGAGAACAAAACAGUCCACCUGAAAAUUUCAUCUUCUAAGCUGUCCGACUCUGCAAUUUAUUUCUGCGCAUUGCAGCCCACAGUAAGGGAAAGGAAGCCGAGAACAUUACACAAACUCAUGUGACAGAAAAACUGUCAUAGAAAUAACAACUUUUAAGUCCAAAUUUUAAC